RNAcentral lists this ribosomal RNA (253 nucleotides) under uncultured prokaryote. Its description in RNAcentral is "partial 16S ribosomal RNA". It matches the Rfam family "Bacterial small subunit ribosomal RNA", at positions 524 to 776 of the family's 1533-position model. The record is from RNAcentral.
UACGGAGGAUGCGAGCGUUAUCCGGAUUUAUUGGGUUUAAAGGGUGCGUAGGCGGAAUAAUAAGUCAGUGGUGAAAGUUUGAAGCUUAACUUUAAAAUUGCCGUUGAAACUGUUAUUCUUGAGUGUGAACGAGGUAGGCGGAAUUCGUAGUGUAGCGGUGAAAUGCAUAGAUAUUACGAAGAACCCCGAUAGCGCAGGCAGCUUACCAGGCCACAACUGACGCUGAGGCACGAAAGUGUGGGUAUCAAACAGG